CAUCCAUCCCUGGAGGUAACAAGAGGAAAGUCACCUUCCUUGGGACUGUAUAGAUGCCCAAACAGAAAUCUGAGGGUAUUGAGAAGGGGGAAGAGGGAUUGGCUGGUGCAGAGGGAAGCAUUUGACAAAGACAAGGGGAGAAGCCAUUGAAAGGAGAAUAUUGAGUAUCACUUUAGAAUAUAUUAAACAACCUAUCAAGAUUAAUGAGCUUAUUCAGAAAAGAAAAUAAGUCCUGAUCAAUUUCAGCGUGUUUGGACCAGCAGAUUCCAGGUGAUGGAUAGGCAGCUUCAUUUUAAUAGUCUGUUGGUACAGGGUGACCUGUAGCCUUUCCAGAAGAGGUAAAAUGAAUCCUCCGGUUGUCACCCCCUCCUUCCUCGCUCCAAUUCCAUCAUUAAUCCCCGUUUGAGGAUUUGAGUGCUGCCGAGGACUGACAGACUCCAUGAGGUUCAGCUGCUGCCUGGUACAUGUGGUCACCUGCAGCUUCUUCAGCCCUACAUAUAUUUUGUGCUGUUUUAGACUGCUCUUUCUUCCAUUAAAUGAGAGAUUAGAUCUGAAUGGCCACGUGAUCUUCUGAGUCCCAUCUGUAAGAAUCUGCAUUUCCACGGAAUUGGGGGAGCAAACGUUCUCAAAACAUUCUUAAAUGCAAACCCGCAGGCACAGCAUGUGUCUGUCAACUCCAAGAGCAUUUGGAUGUUCGAAGGGAGAGGAUGUUUGACAUCUAACCCGUCGUGGAAAGAGGAGCCUCUACAGUGACAUGAAGGCAAUGGAUUCUCAGCAUUACAAGGCAAGACAGAACUUGAAGGAAGAAGGCUGGGAGGAAACCAAUGUUGAAUGAACACUGACUCUGUGCUCAGCCCUGAGCAAGCAGUGGAAUGCCCCUGGGCUGUGAGCCACGAAUUCAAAUCCCAGCUUGUAGAGCUGUUCUGGGGGUUAGAAGUUUGGGGUCCCUCGUUGCUGCACUCGUUCCAGGUUUGGGGCUGGCGCUGCCCUUCUGACCCCUCCCUAAAGUGGACACAGGAGAAGGAGCGGGGAGAAGAGACAGGCGGCCAGGAGACACCCUGUUGAGGGCUCCCUCUGCUUGCAACAGGACCUGCUGAGGUUGCAGCUGAAGUGCUGGUCUUCCCAGAGAAAACAACCCCUCAUUCUCAAAGGAUGAGAGUGAGCCCUGCGGGGCUGCAUGCUCUUGGCCAUGGGAGAUCAACUGUGGUCACAUAGAGUGUAAUCAGUGUGUAUUUAUGGAUCACUCACUACAUGCAAGACCGGGACACAGCCGGGAUUUACUGUGGGGCUGAAAGCAAGUCACUUAAAAAGGUAAAAAUUCAUGUCCUUUUAAUCUACUUUUCAGCAAGGAACAUCACGUCUGAAUGCUCGCGGCCUCUGCCUGCCCCGUGGGAUGGUGCUGGAAAUUAUACUCAUAUUUAGAUAGCAUUCUCUGCAAGUGGCUGCUGUUGUCCUUCCAUCGUCAGCACAGGCAGAUGCUGGGAGUACCCACCUUGGGGUGAGGUGGCAAGAGAGGGCCAGCUUGUAUCCGCCUCGUUGUCGUCCUUCCUUCCUGACUUGACUCUCUCCUCUGUGGCCUUCUCAGGAGUGGGAUGUGGUUGUGAGGAGAAUGUGCACUUUACCCCUCACCAGUCCAGAGAGGGGCACAUAGCCCAAACCUCUCCCCUUCCCAGAAACCUGCAAGUCCCCCUGGGUGCGCCUGUGUGAUGAGGCAGGCUCCGAGAGCCACAGGCUGGUGGGCCACUAGGAAGCAGUAAAGGAAGACAUUUUAUGAUUGUAGCUGGAGAUAAUGAAUUGAAAAGCUGGUCUCUGUUUCUGGAAAUGAUGCCAGGAGGCCCUCAAAAUAAACGCCCACCUGUCCUUCAGGUCUCAACACCUGUUGCUCUUGGGACAGAGAUCCCAGGCCCAAAAUAGGCACAGCUGCUAUGGAUGCUCGUCUUGCCCUCCUGGAGCUGAGACUGGGCCAUGUUUGGAAAUAUGUCUCCCUCCAUCCCCUCCUCCCAUCCUCAUUUGGAGCCUUAGGGCUUUAAGACGUGAGCUCUUUCCUCGCUCCCUCUCCCCAGUCUUUCUUGGGUAUCUCUGCUCCUCCCAUCACCUGUUCCUGGGCAUGGCAUAGGCAGUUGGUAAAUGACAGAUGAAUGAAUACAUGUACAAGGAAACACAGAUCUGAAAUUUCUAGCAGCAAAGUUUGGAGCAGGAAGCUCUGGCUGGCCCUGGGCUUUUUGCUAAGGGUGUUCUGGCUUCGCGUGGCAGCACCCCUCCCCACCGGGCCUUUGCCAGGACGCUCGAUCCUCUCUUCGGGCUUCUGAGCAGUGUGAAUUGCAAACAGCCAUGCCCACUCCCCAGGCCAAGAAAACCAAGUUCAUGGCCAGGAUUGCUCACAAAAAAAAAAAAAAAAAAAGAACCACUUCUGCCUUAUCAUUCUCUCUUUAUUACCGAAAUGCGGAGACAGAAAGUCAACAGAGAAAGAAUUGUUUUCCCCAAGGCCACACAGAUUGCUCCAACACUUGACUUUUCCUGCUAGGAACUCAAUCCAAGAGAUGGGCUUUCUUUUGUUCUCUGACUAUAAAAGGGUGUCACCUUGUCACCAUCUUCUAUCACACAGGACCCCUAUGGGCUUGGUUUGGUUUUGUUCUUUCAUCAUUAUUAUUUGGAAAGUUAUAUUUCCUUUACUGUCCUUGAGGUGUGAGGCUUCACCUCAUCUUGUCUCCAUAUCCCUGAGUCACUAAGGAGUCCUAUGUCAAUGACACCUCUCCAUAUGCUUUACCUAAGCUGCCCCUUCUCUCAGCAAGUUCGCGCCAGGCUUCCCCAUGAAGGCCACCUAAGGGUGUCUAUCGUCCCCCUCCUAAAUCUCCCCAGGACUUUUGAACAAGGGCCAUGUCCAGUUUAAUGUCACACAAAGAAGACUCAUCAAAGCCCAGGAGUUGGGAGUUCUUGCUCCUCACUGCCAUGGAAAGCAUGAAACAUCUGAGAUAAAAAUAAUCUGUGCCAUCCCCUGGCUCCGGAUGGACAGCAGUUGGGGCAUGAGCGCCUCCAGAAUGUCUCAGCAUUGCUGAGGGUAACCGGAUCGCCGCUCAGAUCCAGCAGGCAGCCUCAGAACCUCCCAGCUGCUGUUGUUUUUAGCACCGGGAUUAUUGGUAGGGGUGUAAAUAGACAUCUGUGUUCUGGGUGGCUCGCUCACCCCACAUUCCUAGGCACACUUGUUUUAUUAAAGCUCUCAGCUGUCGGGUGAUCCAGGCGUGGAGAAAUGAAAGGCCGCCCUCACCAGCUGGUGGUGGACUGCAAACUGCAACCAGUUUUCCCCCAUAAGGACAUGUUACUCCUAUUAGAAACUGUGUCCCUCACAUGUCCUUAAGAAGCGGGCCAUCUGCCAAUCAUAAAUCGAGAUCUCAGCCGUUCCAAAUAAAGAAAGAGUCUACCCUCCUUGCUGGCAGUCCUUUUAUAGUUGACAGAUUUUUUUUUUUAAUCUUGUGCUUGGCCAUGUAUUUCUUGUGUAAUUAAAAAAUUAUAAAAGGUAAUAAAAAAUACAAAUCC
This 3534-nucleotide long non-coding RNA is filed under the name Homo sapiens (human). RNAcentral describes it as "HSALNT0388449". The record is from RNAcentral. Lineage: Eukaryota; Metazoa; Chordata; Mammalia; Primates; Hominidae.